CCCGCUGAACUUAAGCAUAUCAAUAAGCGGAGGAAAAGAAACUAACAAGGAUUCCCCUAGUAACUGCGAGUGAAGCGGGAAAAGCUCAAAUUUAAAAUCUGGGGGUCCCUGUGGCCCUCCGAGUUGUAAUCUAGAGAAGUGCUAUCCGCGCUGGACCGUGUACAAGUCUCCUGGAACGGAGCGUCAUAGAGGGUGAGAAUCCCGUCUUUGACACGGACUACCAGGGCUUAUGUGAUGUGCUCUCAAAGAGUCGAGUUGUUUGGGAAUGCAGCUCUAAAUGGGUGGUAAAUUCCAUCUAAAGCUAAAUAUUGGCGAGAGACCGAUAGCGAACAAGUACCGUGAGGGAAAGAUGAAAAGAACUUUGGAAAGAGAGUUAAACAGUACGUGAAAUUGUUGAAAGGGAAACGCUUGAAGUCAGUCGCGUUGCCCAGAAAUCAACCUUGCUUUUGCUUGGUGUACUUUCUGGUUAACGGGUCAGCAUCAAUUUUGACCGGUGGAUAAAGGUCAGGGGAAUGUGGCAUCUUCGGAUGUGUUAUAGCCCUUGGGUGCAUACAUCGAUUGGGAUUGAGGAACUCAGCAUGCCGCAAGCCCGGGUUUUUGACCACGUACAUGCUUAGAAUGCUGGCAUAAUGGCUUUAUCGACCCGUCUUGAAAACGGG
RNAcentral lists this ribosomal RNA (659 nucleotides) under uncultured fungus. RNAcentral's name for it is "eukaryotic LSU rRNA". It matches the Rfam family "Eukaryotic large subunit ribosomal RNA", at positions 24 to 665 of the family's 3401-position model. The record is from RNAcentral. Lineage: Eukaryota; Fungi.